GUUCAUACUAGCUCAGUCGGUAGAGCAUGAGACUCUGAAUCUUAGGGUUGUGGGUUCGAGCCCCACGUUGGGCA
RNAcentral lists this transfer RNA (74 nucleotides) under Podarcis lilfordi (Lilford's wall lizard). RNAcentral's name for it is "tRNA.Gln". The stretch from base 7 to 68 matches the Rfam family "tRNA", at positions 6 to 65 of the family's 71-position model. From Rfam's summary of the family: Transfer RNA (tRNA) molecules are approximately 80 nucleotides in length. Their secondary structure includes four short double-helical elements and three loops (D, anti-codon, and T loops). The record is from RNAcentral. Lineage: Eukaryota; Metazoa; Chordata; Lepidosauria; Squamata; Lacertidae.